AAAACCCACGGGAUCAACACGCAAUAACAAUCCACUAAAAAUAAAAGAUUAUAAGGUGAUUUACCGAAUCCACGGACUCAAAUCUCUCUUUAUCUUCUUCGGAUCUCGCGCACACCAAUGGGUUGUCCACGCCCUCACGUCCGAUUCCACGAACGCCACGUCCUGAAUCCACGAAACGUCCACACUUCGAAUCUACGAAGCCUUGAUCACGUCGAAUCCACGACGCCCACUCGAAUCCACAAGCGCACUCCGUCCGGA
RNAcentral lists this long non-coding RNA (258 nucleotides) under Ananas comosus (pineapple). Its description in RNAcentral is "long non-coding RNA (ACOM_LNC029019)". The record is from RNAcentral. Lineage: Eukaryota; Viridiplantae; Streptophyta; Magnoliopsida; Poales; Bromeliaceae.